RNAcentral lists this long non-coding RNA (1010 nucleotides) under Olea europaea subsp. europaea. The record is from RNAcentral. Lineage: Eukaryota; Viridiplantae; Streptophyta; Magnoliopsida; Lamiales; Oleaceae.
ACUUCCGUAUAAAAUAUAAAAAAGUAAUUAAAAAAGGAAGGAAAAAGCCCAAACCAAAAAUGUAAAACUCAAAGCUACCAAAAGAUACCCCGCACCGAUUAUAUCAUACCCUUAACACACUCCAACAAAACAGCAAAGCCAAACAAUCAUAUUGGAGGAAGAAAUCUGUCAAAAACAUCCUUGAUUUUCAACCUCUUCACAAAUCGAGAACACCACUUUCGACGACACUCGUUACCGUCGACCAACACCAUUCAUCUCACCUCAUUUAGGCGUACAUUCUAAUGGAACAUCACUACCAAAAUAGGCCAAAAAUUUUACUGCAAUUUUUGGGAAAAUGUAUCCAAUUCGCAAAAUCGCCACAAGCAGUCAUGCCUCCUCCAAUUGAAGGAUCCCACACUAUUUUUCUAUUCAAUUGCGAACAGUCGAAUGCUCUGCACUAUAAUACGACCUUGGGUGUACAAUCAAUUGAACCAAUUCAGCCUUCAAUUACUGUAUGAUGAAAAACAAAAAACAUAUUUUGGAUUUGUGAGUUGUGAUGAAUCCAUAAACUAUCCAAAAUUGGGUGUUCAGCACCGCCGUUGUUAAUGGCGCUCACAGUGGCUACUUUUGCUCUCCUCUCUUCUUGAAACAAAUCCCACAGGCAUUGCAAAGUGACUAUCAAAUUUAUGUCUAUUAGUUUACACUUUUCACAAUAUAGUUUAAUCACAAAGAAAAGAAAACUAAAUUCCCAAAUGUAAAAUUAAACCUUAAGGCCUCUUGUACUAUUCCUCCAUAUCGGAGCAGAAGUGGUGUUACAAUUUGCACACCGCCGAGCCAAGACUCGGUCCUCUUCGAAAGUAGUUGUUCUUUUUGCUGCAAAACCACAGAUUUAUGUCCACUUAAAACUGUAAUAGCACCAACUUAUUCAAGAAUUGGGGGAGCCAUUUUAUGCGUUAAAGACAGAAGUUUGAAGAUUUUGAGAUUUGUGUAGUUGACCGGCAAUGGUUAAUAUGCGGAUAGGAGCGUUUGCU